GAGCGGAGGCAGAGGAACGCGGCGCAGCUCGACGGUGGCAAGGCAGCACCGGACUUGGGCUCCGGUGGGGCAAGGGAGGUGAGGAGGUUCACCGGCCAGAGUGGCAGUGGCGUGCAGCAUGCAGGAGAGGCGCACGAGGAAGGAGACCAAGGCACUGUAGCAGGCCGGCAGGGGCGGCUGGAGGGUCGCCGUUGUUGGUGGUUGCCGGCUGCUGCUGCUGCUCCGGCAAGGAGGUGGAGGAGCAUAGAAGGCUCAGGGAAGGGGAGGCCCAGCCGCUCCCUCUUGAGGAGGCAUUCGGCGGUGGACGAU
This 309-nucleotide ribosomal RNA is filed under the name Triticum aestivum (bread wheat). Its description in RNAcentral is "partial small subunit ribosomal RNA". The record is from RNAcentral. Lineage: Eukaryota; Viridiplantae; Streptophyta; Magnoliopsida; Poales; Poaceae.